CUCAAACCACCCAAGAACCUCCUCAAACACCACAAGAACCUCCUAAACCCCCCCAAGAACCUCCAAGACACCCAAGAACCUCCUCAAACCCCUCAAGAUCCCUCAAAACCCCAACAAGAACCUCCAAGAACCUCCUCAAACCUCCCCAAACCUCCCCAAGAACCUCCAAGACCCCCAAGAACCUCCUCAAACCCCCCAAGAUCCCUCAAAACCCCAACAAGAACCUCCAAGAACCUCCCCAAGAACCUCCCUGGACCUUCCCGUCCCCUUGCAGACCCCUCAACCCCCCCAAGAUCCUCCUCAAACCCCCCAAGAACCUCCUCAAACCCCAUAAGAACCUUCUCAAACCCCACAAGAUCCCUCAAAACCCCUCCAAGAACCUCCAAGACCCCAUAAGAACCUUCUCAAACCCCACAAGAACCUUCUCAAACCCCAUAAGAACCUUCUCAAACCCCAUAGGAACCUUCUCAAACCCCCCAAGAUCCCUCAAAACCCUUCCAAGAACCUCCUCAAACCUCCCCAAGAACCUCCAAAACCCCCCAAGAACCUCCAAGACCCCCCAAGAACCUCCUCAAACCCCCCCCAAGAUCCCUCAAAAUCCCUACAAGAACCUUCUCAAACCCCACAAGAACCCUCAAAACCCCUCCAAGAACCUCCAAGACCCCAUAAGAACCUUCUCAAACCCCACAAGAACCUUCUCAAACCCCAUAAGAACCUUCUCAAACCCCAUAGGAACCUUCUCAAACCCCCCAAGAUCCCUCAAAACCCCAACAAGAACCUCCAAGAACCUCCCCAAGAACCAAGAACCCCCCCGAGACCCACCUGGGAGGCCUGGACGAUGAUGGGGACGCCCAGGAGACGUUGGCCGGUGAGGCCGAUGGCCAAGGGCACGGAUUGGAUCUCGCAGAACUCCACGUAGGCGAUGCCCUUGGAGCGGCGGGAGUUGCGGUCCGAGAUGAUGCGCACGUCCCUCACCUGGUGGAGAAGGAGAAGGAGAAGGUCC
RNAcentral lists this long non-coding RNA (1003 nucleotides) under Calidris pugnax (ruff). RNAcentral describes it as "lncRNA (ENSCPUG00000013026.1)". Lineage: Eukaryota; Metazoa; Chordata; Aves; Charadriiformes; Scolopacidae. The record is from RNAcentral.